This 440-nucleotide ribosomal RNA is filed under the name uncultured bacterium. Its description in RNAcentral is "partial 16S ribosomal RNA". It matches the Rfam family "Bacterial small subunit ribosomal RNA", at positions 338 to 795 of the family's 1533-position model. The record is from RNAcentral.
CCUACGGGAGGCAGCAGUGGGGAAUAUUGCACAAUGGGGGAAACCCUGAUGCAGCGACGCCGCGUGAGUGAGGAAGUAUUUCGGUAUGUAAAGCUCUAUCAGCAGGGAAGAAAAUGACGGUACCUGACUAAGAAGCCCUGGCUAACUACGUGCCAGCAGCCGCGGUAAUACGUAGGGGGCAAGCGGUUACCGGAUUUACUGGGUGUAAAGGGUGCGGAGUCGGUUAAUGAAGUCAGAAGUGAAAAACGAGGGGUCAAACUUAGGACUGCUUUUGAAACUGAGUAGCUAGAGUGCAGGAGAGGUAAGCGGAAUUACUAGUGUAGCGGUGAAAUGCGUAGAUAUUAGGAGGAACACCAGUGGCGAAGGCGGCUUACUGGACUGUAACUGACGUUGAGGCUCGAAAGCGUGGGGAGCAAACAGGAUUAGAUACCCGGGUAGUC